CCUACGGGGGGCAGCAGUAAGGAAUCUUUCACAAUGGGCGAAAGCCUGAUGGAGCAACGCCGCGUGCAGGAUGAAGGCCUUCGGGUUGUAAACUGCUUUUAUAAGCGAGAAAUAUGAUGGUAACUUAUGAAUAAGGAUCGGCUCACUACGUGCCAGCAGCCGCGGUCAUACGUAGGAGCCGAGCAUUAUCCGGAGUGACUGGGUGUAAAGAGUUGCGUAGGUGGCAUAAUAAGUAGCUAGUGAAAUCUGGUGGCGCAACCAUUCAGACUAUUAGCUAAACUGUUAAGCUCGAGAGCGUUAGGGGUAACUGGAAGUUCUAGUGUAGGAGUGAAAUCCGUAGAUAUUAGAAGGAACACCAAUAGCGUAGGCAGGUUACUGGGACGGUUCUGACACUAAGGCACGAAAGCGUAGGGAGCAAACGGGAUUAGAUACCCGAGUAGUC
This 442-nucleotide ribosomal RNA is filed under the name uncultured bacterium. RNAcentral's name for it is "partial 16S ribosomal RNA". It matches the Rfam family "Bacterial small subunit ribosomal RNA", at positions 338 to 795 of the family's 1533-position model. The record is from RNAcentral.